This 465-nucleotide ribosomal RNA is filed under the name Vreelandella stevensii. RNAcentral describes it as "partial 16S ribosomal RNA". It matches the Rfam family "Bacterial small subunit ribosomal RNA", at positions 338 to 795 of the family's 1533-position model. Lineage: Bacteria; Pseudomonadati; Pseudomonadota; Gammaproteobacteria; Oceanospirillales; Halomonadaceae. The record is from RNAcentral.
CCUACGGGUGGCAGCAGUGGGGAAUAUUGGACAAUGGGCGAAAGCCUGAUCCAGCCAUGCCGCGUGUGUGAAGAAGGCCUUCGGGUUGUAAAGCUCUUUCAGUGGGGAAGAAAGCCUUGGGGCUAAUACCCUCGAGGAAGGACAUCACCCACAGAAGAAGCACCGGCUAACUCCGUGCCAGCAGCCGCGGUAAUACGGAGGGUGCGAGCGUUAAUCGGAAUUACUGGGCGUAAAGCGCGCGUAGGCGGUCUGAUAAGCCGGUUGUGAAAGCCCCGGGCUCAACCUGGGAACGGCAUCCGGAACUGUCAGGCUAGAGUGCAGGAGAGGAAGGUAGAAUUCCCGGUGUAGCGGUGAAAUGCGUAGAGAUCGGGAGGAAUACCAGUGGCGAAGGCGGCCUUCUGGACUGACACUGACGCUGAGGUUCGAAAGCGUGGGUAGCAAACAGGAUUAGAUACCCUAGUAGUC